UCGGGAUAGCUCAGUUGGUAGAGCAGAGGACUGAAAAUCCUCGUGUCGUC
This 50-nucleotide transfer RNA is filed under the name Aletris pauciflora var. pauciflora. RNAcentral's name for it is "partial tRNA-Phe". The record is from RNAcentral. Lineage: Eukaryota; Viridiplantae; Streptophyta; Magnoliopsida; Dioscoreales; Nartheciaceae.